UACAGAGGGUGCGAGCGUUAAUCGGAAUUACUGGGCGUAAAGGGCGCGUAGGCGGGCUGAUAAGUCAGAUGUGAAAGUCCUGGGCUUAACCUGGGGAUUGCAUUUGAAACUGUCAGUCUGGAGUGAAGUAGAGGGUGGCGGAAUUUCCGGUGUAGCGGUGAAAUGCGUAGAUAUCGGAAGGAACACCAGUGGCGAAGGCGGCCACCUGGACUUUAACUGACGCUGAGGCGCGAAAGCGUGGGGAGCGAACAGG
This 253-nucleotide ribosomal RNA is filed under the name uncultured bacterium. RNAcentral's name for it is "partial 16S ribosomal RNA". It matches the Rfam family "Bacterial small subunit ribosomal RNA", at positions 524 to 776 of the family's 1533-position model. The record is from RNAcentral.